RNAcentral lists this transfer RNA (88 nucleotides) under Candidatus Izimoplasma sp. HR2. RNAcentral's name for it is "Candidatus Izimaplasma sp. HR2 tRNA-Leu". It matches the Rfam family "tRNA". Rfam says of the family: Transfer RNA (tRNA) molecules are approximately 80 nucleotides in length. Their secondary structure includes four short double-helical elements and three loops (D, anti-codon, and T loops). Lineage: Bacteria; Bacillati; Mycoplasmatota; Mollicutes; Candidatus Izemoplasmatales; Candidatus Izemoplasmataceae. The record is from RNAcentral.
AGCCGUAUUAGUGGAAUUGGUAGACACGCAAGAUUCAAAAUCUUGUGGCUUUACGGUCGUGUCGGUUCGACCCCGACUACUGGUACCA